Non-coding RNA from Pelobates cultripes (western spadefoot toad), 100 nucleotides. Lineage: Eukaryota; Metazoa; Chordata; Amphibia; Anura; Pelobatidae. The record is from the annotation of a GenBank genome assembly.
CCAGCAGACUCUCCCUCCCAGACCCUCCUACUUCCUGGACAGCAUCCAUGUUGAAACAGGAAGUAGGAGGGUCUGGGAGGGAGGGUCUGCUGAAGAUUGG